RNAcentral lists this ribosomal RNA (265 nucleotides) under uncultured bacterium. RNAcentral describes it as "partial 16S ribosomal RNA". It matches the Rfam family "Bacterial small subunit ribosomal RNA", at positions 75 to 339 of the family's 1533-position model. The record is from RNAcentral.
UGGAUGAUUUUAUGUUUUAGCGGCGGACGGGUGAGUAACGCGUGAGCAAUCUAUCCUUUACUGGGGAAUAACGCAUCGAAAGAUGUGCUAAUACCGCAUAUGACCACAGAACCACAUGGUUCAGGGGUAAAAGGAGCAAUUCGGUAGAGGGUGAGCUCGCGUCUGAUUAGCUAGUUGGUGGGGUAAUGGCCUACCAAGGCAACGAUCAGUAGCCGACCUGAGAGGGUGAUCGGCCACACUGGAACUGAGAUACGGUCCAGACUCC